Molecule: ribosomal RNA, 960 nt
Filed under: uncultured bacterium
Lineage: Bacteria
Description: bacterial SSU rRNA
Rfam family: Bacterial small subunit ribosomal RNA
Source: RNAcentral
GCCUACACAUGCAAGUCGAACGCAGUAGCAAUACUGAGUGGCAGACGGGUGAGUAACAUGUGGGAAUCUGCCUUGUGGUUCAGGACAACAUUGGGAAACCGAUGCUAAUACUGGAUAAGCCCUUACGGGGAAAGUUUUAAUGCCAUAAGAUGAGCCCGCAUUUGAUUAGUUAGUUGGUGAGGUAAUGGCUUACCAAGACAAUGAUCAAUAGCUGAUCUGAGAGGAUGAUCAGCCACACUGGGACUGAGACACGGCCCAGACUCCUACGGGAGGCAGCAGUGGGGAAUCUUGCACAAUGGAGGAAACUCUGAUGCAGCGAUGCCGCGUGAGUGAAGAAGGCCUUUGGGUUGUAAAGCUCUUUUGUAGGGGAAGAUAAUGACUGUACCCUAAGAAUAAGGUCCGGCUAACUUCGUGCCAGCAGCCGCGGUAAUACGAAGGGACCGAGCGUAGUUCGGAAUUACUGGGCGUAAAGCGCGCGUAGGCCGUUGAGUUAGUUAAUUGUGAAAUCCCAAAGCUUAACUUUGGAACUGCAAUUAAAACUGCUCGACUAGAGUUUGAUAGAGGAAAGCGGAAUACAUAGUGUAGAGGUGAAAUUCGUAGAUAUUAUGUAGAACACCAGUUGCGAAGGCGGCUUUCUGGAUCAACACUGACGCUGAGGCGCGAAAGUAUGGGUAGCAAAGAGGAUUAGAUACCCUCGUAGUCCAUACCAUAAACGAUGAUUGCUAGAUGUUGGAAAUUUAUUUUCAGUAUCGCAGCUAACGCAUUAAGCAAUCCGCCUGGGGAGUACGACCGCAAGGUUAAAACUCAAAUGAAUUGACGGGGACCCGCACAAGCGGUGGAGCAUGUGGUUUAAUUCGAAGAUACGCGCAGAACCUUACCAACCCUUGACAUGUCUGUCGCGAGUUUAGGAAACUAGACUUUUCGGUUCGGCCGGACAGAACACAGGUGCUGCAUGGCUGU